This 346-nucleotide unclassified non-coding RNA is filed under the name soil metagenome. RNAcentral's name for it is "partial contains 5.8S ribosomal RNA, internal transcribed spacer 2, and large subunit ribosomal RNA". The stretch from base 1 to 120 matches the Rfam family "5.8S ribosomal RNA", at positions 35 to 154 of the family's 154-position model. The record is from RNAcentral.
GAUGAAGAACGCAGCAAAAUGCGAUAAGUAGUGUGAAUUGCAGAAUUCCGUGAAUCAUCGAAUCUUUGAACGCACAUUGCGCCCCCUGGUAUUCCGGGGGGCAUGCCUGUCCGAGCGUCAUUGCUGCCCUCAAGCACGGCUUGUGUGUUGGGCCCCGUCCUCCGAUCCCGGGGGACGGGCCCGAAAGGCAGCGGCGGCACCGCGUCCGGUCCUCGAGCGUAUGGGGCUUUGUCACCCGCUCUGUAGGCCCGGCCGGCGCUUGCCGAUCAACCCAAAUUUUUAUCCAGGUUGACCUCGGAUCAGGUAGGGAUACCCGCUGAACUUAAGCAUAUCAAUAAGCGGAGGA